UGGGGAAUAUUGGGCAAUGGGCGAAAGCCUGACCCAGCAACGCCGCGUGAAGGAAGAAGGUCUUCGGAUUGUAAACUUCUUUUAUGAGGGACGAAGGACGUGACGGUACCUCAUGAAUAAGCCACGGCUAACUACGCGCCAGCAGCCGCGGUAAUACGUAGGUGGCGAGCGUUGUCCGGAUUUACUGGGUGUAAAGGGCGUGUAGGCGGGACUGCAAGUCAGAUGUGAAAUACGGAGGCUUAACCUCCGAGCUGCAUUUGAAACUGCAAUUCUUGAGUGAUGGAGAGGUAAGCGGAAUUCCCAGUGUAGCGGUAAAAUGCGUAGAUAUUGGGAGGAACACCAGUGGCGAAGGCGGCUUACUGGACAUUAACUGACGCUGAGGCGCGAAAGUGUGGGGAGCAAACAGGAUUAGAUACCCUGGUAGU
This 425-nucleotide ribosomal RNA is filed under the name uncultured Oscillospiraceae bacterium. RNAcentral describes it as "bacterial SSU rRNA". It matches the Rfam family "Bacterial small subunit ribosomal RNA", at positions 355 to 794 of the family's 1533-position model. Lineage: Bacteria; Bacillati; Bacillota; Clostridia; Eubacteriales; Oscillospiraceae. The record is from RNAcentral.